UAGGGAAUCUUCGGCAAUGGACGGAAGUCUGACCGAGCAACGCCGCGUGAGUGAAGAAGGUUUUCGGAUCGUAAAGCUCUGUUGUUAGAGAAGAACGUUGGUAGGAUUGGAAAAUCUACCAAGUGACGGUAACUAACCAGAAAGGGACGGCUAACUACGUGCCAGCAGCCGCGGUAAUACGUAGGUCCCGAGCGUUGUCCGGAUUUAUUGGGCGUAAAGCGAGCGCAGGCGGUUCUUUAAGUCUGAAGUUAAAGGCAGUGGCUUAACCAUUGUACGCUUUGGAAACUGGAGGACUUGAGUGCAGAAGGGGAGAGUGGAAUUCCAUGUGUAGCGGUGAAAUGCGUAGAUAUAUGGAGGAACACCGGUGGCGAAAGCGGCUCUCUGGUCUGUAACUGACGCUGAGGCUCGAAAGCGUGGGGAGCAAACAGG
RNAcentral lists this ribosomal RNA (429 nucleotides) under Bacillota bacterium. RNAcentral's name for it is "Firmicutes bacterium partial 16S ribosomal RNA". It matches the Rfam family "Bacterial small subunit ribosomal RNA", at positions 355 to 776 of the family's 1533-position model. Lineage: Bacteria; Bacillati; Bacillota. The record is from RNAcentral.